RNAcentral lists this ribosomal RNA (301 nucleotides) under uncultured bacterium. Its description in RNAcentral is "partial 16S ribosomal RNA". It matches the Rfam family "Bacterial small subunit ribosomal RNA", at positions 509 to 807 of the family's 1533-position model. The record is from RNAcentral.
CAGUCGCCACGGUAAUACGAAGGGUGCAAGCGUUAAUCGGAAUUACUGGGCGUAAAGCGUGCGUAGGCGGUUUGUUAAGUCUGCUGUGAAAGCCCUAGGCUCAACCUGGGAAUUGCAGUGGAUACUGGGUCACUAGAGUGUGGUAGAGGAUAGUGGAAUUUCCGGUGUAGCAGUGAAAUGCGUAGAGAUCGGAAGGAACAUCUGUGGCGAAGGCGACUAUCUGGGCCAACACUGACACUGAGGCACGAAAGCGUGGGGAGCAAACAGGAUUAGAUACCCCCGUAGUCCCUGUCUCUUAUAC